AAUAGGAAAAUGAUAAAUCGGAUUUUUUUCUCUUUAUUUUUAGCUUUUUCCUCUUUAAAAAAAUUUAAAUUCAACUAAAAAUGGUAAAAAUUAGGAGGAGAUCUGAUUUGUCAUUUUCCUAUU
This 123-nucleotide microRNA precursor is filed under the name Gossypium hirsutum (cotton). RNAcentral's name for it is "MIR7504 microRNA precursor family". It matches the Rfam family "MIR7504 microRNA precursor family". The record is from Rfam by way of RNAcentral. Lineage: Eukaryota; Viridiplantae; Streptophyta; Magnoliopsida; Malvales; Malvaceae.